Pelobates cultripes (western spadefoot toad) is the source of this 711-nucleotide non-coding RNA. The record is from the annotation of a GenBank genome assembly. NCBI's taxonomy places the organism in Eukaryota, Metazoa, Chordata, Amphibia, Anura, Pelobatidae.
ACAAUCUCACUGAUAUACAUAAGCUCACUGACACACAGCCUCAUAGACAGACACAAUCUCACUGAUAUACAUAAACUCAUUGACACACAGCCUCAUAGACAGACAAUCUCACUGAUAUACAUAAGCUCAUUGACACACAGCCUCAUAGACAGACAAUCUCACUGAUAUACAUAAGCUCAUUGACACACAGCCUCAUAGACAGACAAUCUCACUGAUAUACAUAAGCUCAUUGACACACAGCCUCAUAGGCAGACAAUCUCACUGAUAUACAUAAGCUCAUUGACACACAGCCUCAUAGACAGACAAUCUCACUGAUAUACAUAAGCUCAUUGACAUAAAAACACAAGCGCACUCACUAGGAGGCAGACAGCUUAAUGUAGUGGUUCUGGUGUCUAUAGGCUUUCAAUGUAAACACUGACUUUUCAGAGAAAAGGCAUUGUUUACAUUGCUUCCUAAUGACACCUCUAGUGACAGACACUAGAGGUGCUUCCUGUAUCAGCGCAGAUUGGCUGAGAUCAUCAAGCUUGAUGAUCUCGGCCAUAGAGGCAGGGCCAGUUGAGGGGAGACCAGCACGACGUUGGAGAGUAAAAACACUAUUUUUUAAAAACACCCACAGACACACACACCUUGACACACCCAGACACACAUAAUUGUUGUAACCUGUGGGCAGACAGAUUGGUGUGCUGGCGGCUGCAGGGAGCUGGCUCUUCU